AUUUAAAAACAUGCAUUAAUAUACAUAUAUUUUAUGCUUCCCUUAUUGGUGUGAGGUUAUGAUUUUAAAGGUGUAAAACAUCCAAUGUCAUGCUUUAUAAAUUCUAAAAUGUAUUUCAAAUUGUUCGAGUCGAGGAGUCUAAUACUGUGAGAAAAACUCAGUCACACUAUUCUUCACAAUGAUAUACUGAAAACAGUGGUAAUGCUAUUAGAUUAAGGUAAGUUUGCAGUGAGCUAUAUAAGUCAAACUACACACAGGUUUAUAAAUAAUACAUACAAUAGGUGGAACACACAUCUGUAGAAUCUAAAAAACAGGAUAGAACAUCAUAGUGUAAUAUGUCAAAAAUGAACAGUAAUAGAUGGAAUUAGAGCAGUAUUACUCACAAGCCUGGAGCCAAUAUUAACAUAUGGCUCUUAUGUGCAGCGCAGUGGGACUUUUACAUGGAUGUCCCCAUCCCUCUUGGUAUUCCUCCUUUGGUGAUAUGGUGAUGGUAGAAGAUCACACUAUUCCAAUCUGUAUCCAAUGAGGGAACUUUAUUAUGAAAAACAAUCAAUAUAUAAAAAAUUAUAAGGAAAUCAAUAUUCCCAGUAAAAAUAAAAAUAUAGACAAUAUGUCCAAUUAAAAGUCCAAUAUGCAGACUGUAGUAGUCCAAAACGCGUUUCGCCCUAUGGUGGGGGCUUCCUCAGUUGGCAUUAGUCUGUAUACCGAGUGGCUGGUUCUUGGCGUCCUUAUAAAGCACUUUUCUUCUUCACUUUCGGGUUUUAUGUGUUUGGAACGCAUCGUGCGUUCCACCGCCGGUUUCCUGUAUAAUACUUCCGGUUUGGUGUUGUAUCGGCAUCUUCCUAUGUGUCACUUCCGGUUUCGGUCUGUGGAACGCUUCUAUGAUGUCACUGGAACGCAUAGAGUCGGAUCCAUGCGUUCCACUGCAGAUAACUUUGCAUACCAUUGUGUAUUAAUCAUAUAGCGUCCCUAGGUGGUUUCUCAAUAUAUGUUACCUCUAAUCCAUUACAUAUACACAGAAAAACAUAAAUCAGAAAACAAAAUUAUUCUUAUUAUUCAGAAAUUAUUAUAAUUUUGUUUUCUGAUUUAUGUUUUCCUGUGUAUAUGUAAUGGAUUAGAGGUAACAUAUAUUGAGAAACCACCUAGAGACGCUAUAUGAUUAAUACACAAUGGUAUGCAAAGUUAUCUGCAGUGGAACGCAUGGAUCCGACUCUAUGCGUUCCAGUGACAUCAUAGAAGCGUUCCACAGACCGAAACCGGAAGUGACACAUAGGAAGAUGCCGAUACAACACCAAACCGGAAGUAUUAUACAGGAAACCGGCGGUGGAACGCACGAUGCGUUCCAAACACAUAAAACCCGGAAGUGAAGAAGAAAAGUGCUUUAUAAGGACGCCAAGAACCAGCCACUCGGUAUACAGACUAAUGCCAACUGAGGAAGCCCCCACCAUAGGGCGAAACGCGUUUUGGACUACUACAGUCUGCAUAUUGGACUUUUAAUUGGACAUAUUGUCUAUAUUUUUAUUUUUACUGGGAAUAUUGAUUUCCUUAUAAUUUUUUAAUAUAUUGAUUGUUUUUCAUAAUAAAGUUCCCUCAUUGGAUACAGAUUGGAAUAGUGUGAUCUUCUACCAUCACCAUAUCACCAAAGGAGGAAUACCAAGAGGGAUGGGGACAUCCAUGUAAAAGUCCCACUGCGCUGCACAUAAGAGCCAUAUGUUAAUAUUGGCUCCAGGCUUGUGAGUAAUACUGCUCUAAUUCCAUCUAUUACUGUUCAUUUUUGACAUAUUACACUAUGAUGUUCUAUCCUGUUUUUUAGAUUCUACAGAUGUGUGUUCCACCUAUUGUAUGUAUUAUUUGUAUUUCUAUUUAAGUGGUAGAAGGGGUUUCCACUUAGGUGGUCAGUAGUUAUUUUUAACUACCACACACUUUUUUCUCACUGUAUUUUCACCAUUUUAUAUACACACAGGUUUAUGUCCACUUACUUUGGCUAACUUCCUCCUGCCACUAAUGGUGUUAUGCAGCUGAAUGGUAUUCUAUUUGAUGGUCCUUGUUUCUGAAUCACUGUUUCUGUUAACUAUAUUUACUGUUUGUAUAAUGCCAGUCUAGCCUUGUUAACCAUAAGUCACUAUUACGGGUACUUAAACACCUUAAGUUCUGCGUAACACCUUUUGCUACUUGGUUGAUGAUUUGCACUGUUCUUUAUGUCUCUGUAUUACCAUGUACUUUCAAUAAAGG
Molecule: non-coding RNA, 2232 nt
Organism: Pelobates cultripes (western spadefoot toad)
Lineage: Eukaryota; Metazoa; Chordata; Amphibia; Anura; Pelobatidae
Source: the annotation of a GenBank genome assembly